UUAAAGCUGCUGUAAAUAGUGGGCAUCAGUAUCUUGGUGCACGUCGGCACAUCUUUGCAUUCAUCCCUCUUUGCUGGCAGAGAAAUGAAUUCCUGCUAUGAAGGCGGCUAAAUUACUGUUCGUGAAUGUUCUGACUCAUUUCUGUCUGUGGAUACUGCCUCAAUCUGUGCUGGAUCGAAUUUACUCCUGCCCGUAUUUAGGCGUAAAUAACUUAAUAUUCCCCUGCAGGGGCAAACCCGAAAGCAGCACGAUACAGACAGGUAUCUUGGAGGCAUCUUAAGGAUCCUGGGGGGAACAAGUCCUUUUCCAAAGUCAAAGUGGAACAUCUAAAAGGGAACCCAAUGCAAACGGACUCCCAAGCACAGGGUGACGACUUCUGAGCUUGAACUGCGUGUCGUUACAAGAGAACUCGAUGCAUGUCCCCAUGGUGCCUAAAACCUCAGAGAAGUCAACUGAAGAAAUGCUUUGGGGAAACACCUCUGUCCUUUUUUGCUGAAUGUAUGUAAUGAUAAAUAAAGACACGUAUUAG
Gymnogyps californianus (California condor) is the source of this 529-nucleotide long non-coding RNA. RefSeq lists it as uncharacterized. The transcript has 3 exons. The record is from RefSeq and is a predicted model, not a curated record. Lineage: Eukaryota; Metazoa; Chordata; Aves; Accipitriformes; Cathartidae.